UACGUAGGGUGCGAGCGUUAAUCGGAAUUACUGGGCGUAAAGGGGGCGCAGGCGGUUCUGCAAGUCAGGCGUGAAAGCCCCGGGCUUAACCUGGGAAUGGCGCUUGAAACUACAGGACUGGAGUAUGGCAGAGGGAGGUGGAAUUCCACGUGUAGCGGUGAAAUGCGUAGAGAUGUGGAGGAACACCGAUGGCGAAGGCAGCCCCCUGGGUUAACACUGACGCUCAUGCACGAAAGCGUGGGGAGCAAACAGG
Molecule: ribosomal RNA, 253 nt
Filed under: uncultured bacterium
Lineage: Bacteria
Description: partial 16S ribosomal RNA
Rfam family: Bacterial small subunit ribosomal RNA
Source: RNAcentral